AAAAAAGAAAUAGAUAAAAUAAAACAACAAACCACAGAAGAAAUACGAAAAAUAGAAGAAACUAAAAAUAGUAGGAUUGCUGAAUUAGAAAAAGAACUACAAAUGCUAAAAGAUUUAUAUGAAAAGAGACAGAAAGAAAAAGAAGAAAAAGAUAAAGAACAAAAAUUAUUAAUUGAGAUAAAUCAAUUUAAAGAAAAAUAAAAAAUAAAAAAU
This 213-nucleotide long non-coding RNA is filed under the name Capsicum annuum. RNAcentral's name for it is "long non-coding RNA (CANN_LNC021700)". The record is from RNAcentral. Lineage: Eukaryota; Viridiplantae; Streptophyta; Magnoliopsida; Solanales; Solanaceae.